CCUACGGGAGGCAGCAGUGAGGAAUAUUGGUCAAUGGACGAGAGUCUGAACCAGCCAAGUAGCGUGAAGGAUGACUGCCCUAUGGGUUGUAAACUUCUUUUAUAUGGGAAUAAAAUGUUCCACGUGUGGGAUUUUGUAUGUACCAUAUGAAUAAGGAUCGGCUAACUCCGUGCCAGCAGCCGCGGUAAUACGGAGGAUCCGAGCGUUAUCCGGAUUUAUUGGGUUUAAAGGGAGCGUAGGUGGAUUGUUAAGUCAGUUGUGAAAGUUUGCGGCUCAACCGUAAAAUUGCAGUUGAAACUGGCAGUCUGGAGUACAGUAGAGGUGGGCGGGAUUCGUGGUGUAGCGGUGAAAUGCUUAGAUAUCACGAAGAACUCCGAUUGCGAAGGCAGCUCACUGGACUGCAACUGACACUGAGGCUCGAAAGUGUGGGUAUCAAACAGGAUUAGAUACCCCAGUAGUC
RNAcentral lists this ribosomal RNA (460 nucleotides) under uncultured bacterium. Its description in RNAcentral is "partial 16S ribosomal RNA". It matches the Rfam family "Bacterial small subunit ribosomal RNA", at positions 338 to 795 of the family's 1533-position model. The record is from RNAcentral.